GACUAAGCCAUGCGAGUCAAAUGUUCUUCGUGAACACGGCGUACUGCUCAGUAACACGUGGAUAACCUGCCCUUAGGUCUGGCAUAACCCCGGGAAACUGGGGAUAAUUCCGGAUAGAUCAUGGAUGCUGGAAUGCACCGUGGUCGAAAGCUUUUGUGCCUAAGGAUGGGUCUGCGGUCUAUCAGGUUGUAGUGGGUGUAACGUACCUACUAGCCUACGACGGAUACGGGUUGUGGGAGCAAGAGCCCGGAGAUGGAUUCUGAGACAUGAAUCCAGGCCCUACGGGGCGCAGCAGGCGCGAAAACUUUACAAUGCGGGAAACCGCGAUAAGGGGACACCGAGUGCCAGCAUCCUAUGUUGGCUGUCCAUAUGUAUAAAUAACAUGUGUUAGCAAGGGCCGGGCAAGACCGGUGCCAGCCGCCGCGGUAACACCGGCGGCCCGAGUGGUGGCCACUAUUAUUGGGUCUAAAGGGUCCGUAGCCGGUUUGGUCAGUCUUCCGGGAAAUCUGACGGCUUAACCGUUAGGCUUUCGGGGGAUACUGCCAGGCUUGGGACCGGGAGAGGUAAGAGGUACUACGGGGGUAGGAGUGAAAUCUUGUAAUCCCUGUGGGACCACCAGUGGCGAAGGCGUCUUACCAGAACGGGUCCGACGGUGAGGGACGAAAGCUGGGGGCACGAACCGGAUUAGAUACCCGGGUAGUCCCAGCCGUAAACUAUGCUCGCUAGGUGUCAGGGACGGUGCGACCGUUUCUGGUGCCGUAGGGAAGCCGUGAAGCGAGCCACCUGGGAAGUACGGUCGCAAGGCUGAAACUUAAAGGAAUUGGCGGGGGAGCACUACAACGGGUGGAGCCUGCGGUUUAAUUGGAUUCAACGCCGGGAA
RNAcentral lists this ribosomal RNA (880 nucleotides) under Methanomethylovorans sp. enrichment culture clone AM16. Its description in RNAcentral is "bacterial SSU rRNA". It matches the Rfam family "Archaeal small subunit ribosomal RNA", at positions 42 to 924 of the family's 1478-position model. Lineage: Archaea; Methanobacteriati; Methanobacteriota; Methanomicrobia; Methanosarcinales; Methanosarcinaceae. The record is from RNAcentral.